RNAcentral lists this ribosomal RNA (262 nucleotides) under uncultured bacterium. RNAcentral's name for it is "partial 16S ribosomal RNA". It matches the Rfam family "Bacterial small subunit ribosomal RNA", at positions 99 to 354 of the family's 1533-position model. The record is from RNAcentral.
CGAACGGGUGAGUAACACGUAGGGAACCUGCCCGCGCACCGGGAAUACGCUCUGGAAACGGAGAACAAAUCCCGAUGUACAGGAAGGAGGCAUCUUCUUUCUGUGAAACAUCCUUUAGGGGAUGGGGCGCGGAUGGACCUGCGGUGCAUUAGUUUGUUGGCGGGGUAAAGGCCCACCAAGACGAUGAUGCAUAGCCGGCCUGAGAGGGCGGACGGCCACAUUGGGACUGAGACACGGCCCAGACUCCUACGGAAGGCAGCAG